CGACCAUCUUUUAUUGAGACUGCCCAGCGUGUCAUCUCGCAAUCUACAUCGUCCUGAAUGUCCACGAAGAUUUUCAUCCCUGAGUCAAUCUUCGGCAGGAUAAAUCUUCAAACGGUACCAAAGAAGAUAACGUUAAGAUAUGCAGUGUCGUGCGCGCAGAUGCAUCUGCUUCUAAGUAAAUAGAAAACGUGUUCUGGCUCAUCCGGAAGAUGUUUGAAUACACCAUGAAGAAGAAGAAGAAGUAAAGAGACUCUUCUCCAGGUUGCGAGGCUGUCUCACGUCGGGCACACGACGUCCAUGCGACGUCACGUAAUACAAACACAAGAACCAAAAGGACUAAUCAAACAAGGAUAUAGGCACAUAUUGGUUGACACAGGCAGCUAACGACGACACAGACUUCAUAAUUAUCCUUCGUGCGAGUAGGCAUUUCUCUGUGUAUCCAGAAUUGCGAGUAGGUAUUUCUCACAGUGCACGGUCUGAAGCCACGCACAGUUUUGAAAGCGUGGGUGAGACACGCGAGCCAAACACAAGCGUCCCGACGCUCUAGGGAAGAAGAAAAGAUGGACGGAAAAGUAAUGCCAACAAUUCGCUCGCCGCAUUCCCACAAUUACGUAAGCGCCUGGACCGGUCUUUCGGAUUCAGCUUUAAUGAAGGAUAAUCACAUUUAAUUAUUCGCCCCGAGCGCGGUAAUAUAGACUAUCUGCCAGGAUCUUGUUGAUCUCGAGUACGCAGCUCAUUUGGUAUAUUAAUAAGUGAUAUAUAGUAUGAAAUCGUUCGUGAGAACCGUGAUAAAUGAUUAAGGUACUGUAAGAUGAUUAAUUUCAAUGACAAAUUAUUUAUGUAAAUUUUUCUUUUAUUUUUACUGAUACGCAGUAUUGAAAUCGAUGCAUCCUUAAGUAUUGUGCUUGAUGUGUAAUUGAAAAGCUUUUCUCUGGCCGUGUUAGCCGAUUUAACGGGCAUGUAAAUCAAAGUGAUAAGUACGACGUGGUGGCCAAGGUCGGUCAUGGUGUCUUGGAUGAUUAAUCAUUUAUUUUUGAGCUCACGGUGGACCAGGAGUAAUCUUACAUAGGGUAUAGUACUGCGGGUUCUUAAGUUACUGUCAUAAUUCAUCGUCUUCGCUGUUUAAAAGUGAGAGCCGGCAUGCUGUGUCACAGGAGGCUAUUAAUGUUGAGAUUCGCUGGAGUUUCACACCCUUUUAUAUUAAUAUAUAUCCAUGGAAAUCUGAAGGGUGUAUAUAUACGUCUGCAGAAACGGAGAAUUAUUACAAUCCGGAAGCGAGGGUCAGGUACUUGUUAAAAAUACUUGUAAGAAAUGUUUUUAAAGCUUUUUUUGUAAAUGCGCGACACGCACUGCACAAUUAUUUCACAUGCUAAUUUAUGUUCCGCUGAAUUUUUUUUCACCGAUGAAUUCAAGAUACGAGUCACGUAAAUAAUUUUUUUUUACAUUUUCACAUGAAGAGUCGACCUUCUGAAAACGUAUGAUAUAUCCUCUGACAUUGUGGCGAUUCAAGGACAAUUUAUAAAUUAUAUGCGAUUAUAUGCGUAUUUUUCGGAAUAUUCCUGUUCUCUUAGGAAAGCUUAUUGUAGUGGAUAUUAAAGUGGAUACUUGAUUAUCAUUUUUUGGUGGCAACAAUUUUUAUCGUGUCUGACGUGCUUUGACGUUAACGUUGGAAUGUAUGAUGGCGGCGUGAUGGCAAAGGCUGGAAAUAAUUAUUAGACCAUAAAGCAUCGUGAAAAUUUAGCACGUAUCAAAACUAUAAUUUCACCUUUUAUAAUAUAAACCUGUAAAGUUUUCAUAGGAUUUACGCAUCCUUCAAG
Long non-coding RNA from Cephus cinctus (wheat stem sawfly), 1817 nucleotides. RefSeq lists it as uncharacterized. Lineage: Eukaryota; Metazoa; Arthropoda; Insecta; Hymenoptera; Cephidae. The record is from RefSeq and is a predicted model, not a curated record. The transcript has 3 exons.